This is a long non-coding RNA of Phyllopteryx taeniolatus (common seadragon), 284 nucleotides long. RefSeq lists it as uncharacterized. Lineage: Eukaryota; Metazoa; Chordata; Actinopteri; Syngnathiformes; Syngnathidae. The transcript is spliced from 3 exons. The record is from RefSeq and is a predicted model, not a curated record.
CUGGAGCCAGUAAUAUUGGAGAAGGGCGUGUCCUUCCAAGAAAAUGCACUGGAUUCCUAAUGAUGUUGGACGUUCCCUUUCCGGGUUGUCUCAAUCAAAGCUGGAGUAUCCAGAGAAAACCUACACAAGCAUGUGGAGACCCCUGGGACCCCUCGACUGCGAGGCAGAUGUGAAAUCAUCUUGGUGUGGCACAUUUGGACCAGCUGAUGUGCAUAAAGUCAAAGCAAGAAGCAGAGGAAGUCAUCGACCUGGACAAAGUGUACAAUCAUUGGAGAAGCGAGAAG